RNAcentral lists this ribosomal RNA (308 nucleotides) under Triticum aestivum (bread wheat). RNAcentral describes it as "partial small subunit ribosomal RNA". Lineage: Eukaryota; Viridiplantae; Streptophyta; Magnoliopsida; Poales; Poaceae. The record is from RNAcentral.
CUCCUCUACACAACAAGGUUCAAGGCCCAACAAGUGCACAAGCACACAUCAACAUAGAUUGGACGAGAAGCACAAAUUUUAGCUGAUCACACAUAACAUCAAUGAGAAGCACGAAUAUCGUGUACCAUCACUAGUACACAUACUUUGUCCCGUCACCCAAGCACCAAUAUUGUGUCAAUCUACUGGAUUUGCCACAUGGUGAUGUUACUGCAUUAGGGCUGUCCCAGCUUCUCCCUGCCCAAAUGGCAGGAUGAUCUGCUGAUCGAUGUACUGCUCCAGCACCACCUCCCGCUACCACUGGUGGAAGA